RNAcentral lists this ribosomal RNA (403 nucleotides) under bacterium. Its description in RNAcentral is "partial 16S ribosomal RNA". It matches the Rfam family "Bacterial small subunit ribosomal RNA", at positions 355 to 776 of the family's 1533-position model. The record is from RNAcentral.
UGGGGAAUAUUGCACAAUGGGGGAAACCCUGAUGCAGCGACGCCGCGUGAACGAAGAAGGUAUUCGUAUCUUAAAGUUCUGUCCUAUGGGAAGAUAAUGACAGUACCAUAGAAGAAAGCUCCGGCUAAAUACGUGCCAGCAGCCGCGGUAAUACGUAUGGAGCGAGCGUUGUCCGGAAUUAUUGGGCGUAAAGGGUACGCAGGCGGUUUAAUAAGUCGAAUGUUAAAGAUCGGGGCUCAACCCCGCAAAGCAUUGGAAACUGAUAAACUUGAGUAGUGGAGAGGAAAGUGGAUUUCCUAGUGUAGUGGUGAAAUACGUAGAUAUUAGGAGGAAUACCAGUAGCGAAGGCGACUUUCUGGACACAAACUGACGCUGAGGUACGAAAGCGUGGGGAGCAAACAGG